This 348-nucleotide ribosomal RNA is filed under the name uncultured rumen bacterium. RNAcentral describes it as "bacterial SSU rRNA". It matches the Rfam family "Bacterial small subunit ribosomal RNA", at positions 20 to 362 of the family's 1533-position model. The record is from RNAcentral.
UGGCUCAGGAUGAACGCUGGCGGCAGGCUUAACACAUGCAAGUCGAGGGGCAGCGCGGUAGUAGCAAUACUACUGGCGGCGACCGGCGAAAGGGUGCGUAACGCGUGAGCGACAUACCCGCGACCGGGGGAUAACAGAUGGAAACGUCUACUAAUACCCCAUAACAACAGGGCUCGCAUGGAUCUUGUUUGAAAGAUUAAUCGGUUGCGGAUUGGCUCGCGUCCCAUUAGCUAGUCGGCGGGGUAACGGCCCACCGAGGCGACGAUGGGUAGGGGUUCUGAGAGGAAGGUCCCCCACAAUGGAACUGAGACACGGUCCAUACUCCUACGGGAGGCAGCAGUGGGGAAU